RNAcentral lists this unclassified non-coding RNA (509 nucleotides) under Hevea brasiliensis (rubber tree). Lineage: Eukaryota; Viridiplantae; Streptophyta; Magnoliopsida; Malpighiales; Euphorbiaceae. The record is from RNAcentral.
CCAAGCGAUGCAGAUAAGCAUCUGUUGGCACGACAGACUGGUUUAUCAAGGAAUCAGGUUUCGAAUUGGUUCAUUAAUGCAAGGGUUCGGUUGUGGAAACCCAUGGUGGAAGAGAUGUAUCAACAAGAGGCAAAAGAAGAGGAAGGAACGGUAGAAGAUAGAGAAAGAAAGCAAAGCAACAACAAUAGUGGGGUUGCACAAACACCAACGCCAAGUUCCACGCCAACGGCAUCCUCAUCAGCACCUCCAACAACCACAGCAACACCAACAGCAGCAGCAGGAGGCAAAAGAUCCGAAAAUGCCAAUGAAAACGACCCUUCACUUCUUGCAAUCAAUAGACAAUGCUUCUCGGAAAACCAAGCAAAACACUCCCCUUCAACCAUCGCGACCACCUUUAUUACUCCCACAAUAGAGGUGGCGCCACCACCACCCCAUCCCCAACCUUUCCAUGACUUGGCCGAUGAAACGCGUCGCCUUGGCAGCUUGGUUCCAGCUGACUAUGGGACCAC